This is a long non-coding RNA of Astatotilapia calliptera (eastern happy), 2538 nucleotides long. The record is from Ensembl. Lineage: Eukaryota; Metazoa; Chordata; Actinopteri; Cichliformes; Cichlidae.
GCGCAGAUAAAAGUGUCCAGCUCUCCUCUUCCUGGUAGGAGUGAAACUGCAUGUUCAGUUAUUAUCGCUGUGGGAAAGAAUUUAUAAAACAGAAACAAGUCUUGUAGUGGACAACAGUGUAAGUCAUAAAAAGGUCAUCAUGCAGUGUUCUAUCACAUGUAAACUUAUAUCAUUAACAGCUUAUACUAACUACUAAGUACAAUUUUCCAUUGACAGAAGACAACCAGUCAAAAAGCCACUGCUCUUAGUCCAGCCUCUAAACUGCUGUCAUUAUAAUUAAAUUUUAUUGGUUGUUUUGAAAUUUCAUUAUAUGGAAGCUCCUUUUCCAUUAAGUCAACAUGUAUCCCUCAUAUACAAAAAAUUUCGAGAGAAGGAUGUUGGAGCUAAAACACUCUGAAACCUGCACUUUUAACCCUCGCAGAUUACUUAUAACAAGUAUGACUGAAAAUAAGGAAAAGAAGGAAAUGUUUUUUUUAAACGUUUUAAUUUCCAAAUUUAUUUUGAACAGGUGCAGUGAAGCAAACAAAAAGUAAAAAUUUCCAAGCACAGUAAAUCAAAUGUUUAAACAUAUUAUCUUGUCAAUUCAAAGAAAAAACAAAAAAAAACAACCCACAAAACUGCAAGCAUGCUUGACAACAAACAGCAGUUCUGAUUUACACUCUACAGAUAAGGUUUGAUGACAUAAUAUUUCAUUAUAUGUGAGCUGUGGAAGGGUGGUGCUUUUUAGAGGCAAAUCACGACAACAGUUGCUUCAGGACAAUUUAUAUUGUAAGGUGAAGACCUUGCAAUAACACAGAGAAAACCCCAACAAUCACAUGACAACCAAUGAGCAAGGUUGUAGUAUUUUCGUUGUUACUUUUUUAAUGUCAACUCUUUCAUUUUUUCAUUUAGGUCUUCUGUUUUUUGAUCUUCUUGCUUUACGUUAAUUUUGACUUUUUCUCUGAACCAUGUGAGAAAUUCACCCCUUUUCUCAUUUGAAACAUAUAUCACACAUUCUCCAUUGCUGCCAUGGUUGUGUAACAUUAUGGUGCUUUUGUCUGUGUCAUAUUUGUAAGUGAUUAUUUUUUCAGUUUCAUCAGCAAACUCCUCUUUUAUCCAGUUUCUCCAUUUUUCUGGAUCUUUAGUAUGAAACUGGUAUUUAUCAUCUGUCGAUUUUCUUUGAUUUACAAACAGCUCUUCAGGUCUGCGCGCUCUUUCUUCCUUUCUGAAUUUCUUUUUUUCAUGCUCUGUUGCGCUUUCAUUGGGAUAGACAUAUUGUCGAGGAGUCAUCUAAAAGAAAAGAUAAAAAUUGCAUGAGCACAUUUAUUUUACGCCAUAUCCUCAGAAAUCUUGUAUUCAGUGCUCACAGUUCCACUGGUGUUUCUUGUGUUUUCUGCCAUUUCUUUGAAUCAGUUAACUUGGUUUGAAGAAGAGUCGACUGAUCCCACAGCGGCUUCCUGAGUGCAAAGGCAAACCUUAAUCAUUUGUACCAGAUAUCAUAUGUUCUGUUAUUCAAUCUAAGCUGCACGCAAGUCAUAAAAACCAUUGCCAAAACAAACAAACAAAACAUGAAUGAAUAACAGUAAAUUACCUGAGCUUGCACAUCCUGGUGUCUUAAAGUCUAAAUAAAUCUGUUUCCAAUUAAAAUUGUGCUGGUUGAAAAGCUAGUAUUAAUAAUUUGUUUUCCAACCCUGUUUACCUUUUCCCUCAUAAUGAUGCCCGUUGUUACACAUUUACUGUUUUCAGGUGUUCCCACGGUAAACUUUCAAAUUCAGUUUUUUUUUAAUCCUCUAUUAUUUUUAGGUUAUGAUGUCAUUAAAGUGUUUCUGAGUGUAAAAUAAACAAACGGAGAGUUAAAGACAUAUAAAAGGAUCUGUUACUUACUCAGUCUACUGCUUCAGGCAGAGUCUGUGAUUUUGCUGUUUCUCGAGCGUAGUCCAAGAGAAAUGACCUGCUGACGGCUUCUUUUCCCCUUUUAUACUUUCUCCCUUUUUUUUAUUUAUUUAAUUUUUACAAACAGCCAAUCAUAGAGCAGAAUCAGUGUUCACCAGGGACUGCAAAUAAAUACAAAGAAAUGUGUUUCUGUAAAACAAGUUAAUCUUCACCUUCAUACAGUUUAACCAAACACACACACACACAUUAAAGUUUAUUGAGUAUUUUUUGCCUGCUAGCUGUAGCAUGUUUAAUACUAGAGGAGGUUGCCAUGGUGAAGUGGGAGGAGUUUUCUUCAUAUUACAUUGAGAUGUUUGCGCCAUACAGGGUGUAAGAUGACCUGAGGGAUGGACUGAAGAGCCAAAAAGGAAGUUUAAACCACCAUCCUCAACUGUUUGGACCAAUCAUGUUAGCAUUCUGUUUUUAUGACACAUCAAAGUAUUUACUGCCGGGAUGUGGUGCUCUUUUCUUCGUUUGGGUCUCCUGAGCAAAGGAAGAGACAUGGAGUCGUUUUGAAUCAAUAAAAGCAACCAGGCAGUGUGAGCACUGCUGCUAGAUAGACUUAUUCUGCUGUACUUUAGUACUUAAAACCCUUUGUACAUCGUGCCUCAUCUACCCUGAUUCACA